GGAGUUUGGACCGUGUCUCAGUUCCAAUGUGGCCAUUCAUCCUCUCAGACCGGCUACUGAUCGUCGCCUUGGUGGGCCUUUACCCCGCCAACAAGCUAAUCAGACGCGGGCCCAUCCUGUACCACCGGAGUUUUUCACACUGGAAGAUGUCUUCCCGUGCGCUUAUGCGGUAUUAGCAGUCAUUUCUGACUGUUAUCCCCCUGUACAGGGCAGGUUACCCACGCGUUACUCACCCGUCCGCCACUCAGUCAUGCCCCCGAAGGAGCAUGCUUCGUUCGACUUGCAUGUGUUAGGCACGCCGCCAGCGUUCAUC
Molecule: ribosomal RNA, 313 nt
Filed under: uncultured Coprococcus sp.
Lineage: Bacteria; Bacillati; Bacillota; Clostridia; Lachnospirales; Lachnospiraceae
Description: partial 16S ribosomal RNA
Source: RNAcentral